Molecule: ribosomal RNA, 1463 nt
Filed under: metagenome
Description: bacterial LSU rRNA
Rfam family: Bacterial large subunit ribosomal RNA
Source: RNAcentral
UUGGAGAAGGUUAGCUCAGCCAACUGUUGGAUAUGUUGGUUCAAGCCUGUAGUCGUGCCUGGUAGGUAAAUCCGCCGGGCUUAGAUGAGGGGUGAUAACGAGGCGGCUUGCCGCCGAAGUGAGUGAUACCCUGCUUCCAGGAAAAGCCACUAAGCUUCAGCUACACACGACCGUACCGCAAACCGACACUGGUGCGCGAGAUGAGUAUUCUAAGGCGCUUGAGAGAACUCAGGAGAAGGAACUCGGCAAAUUGACACCGUAACUUCGGAAGAAGGUGUGCCUUUAGUAGGUGAAGUCCCUGCGGAUGGAGCCCAAUGAGGUUGCAAAAAAUCGGUGGCUGCGACUGUUUAAUAAAAACACAGCACUCUGCAAACACGAAAGUGGACGUAUAGGGUGUGACGCCUGCCCGGUGCUGGAAGAUUAAAUGAUGGGGUGCAAGCUCUUGAUUGAAGUCCCAGUAAACGGCGGCCGUAACAAUAACGGUCCUAAGGUAGCGAAAUUCCUUGUCGGGUAAGUUCCGACCUGCACGAAUGGCGUAACGAUGGCCACACUGUCUCCUCCUGAGACUCAGCGAAGUUGAAAUGUUUGUGAUGAUGCAAUCUCCCCGCGGAAAGACGGAAAGACCCCAUGAACCUUUACUGUAGCUUUGUAUUGGACUUUGAACGGAUCUGUGUAGGAUAGGUGGGAGGCUUUGAAGCAGGGUCGCUAGAUCUUGUGGAGCCAACGUUGAAAUACCACCCUGGUGCGUUUGAGGUUCUAACCUAGGUCCAUUAUCUGGAUCGGGGACAGUGCAUGGUAGGCAGUUUGACUGGGGCGGUCUCCUCCCAAAGCGUAACGGAGGAGUUCGAAGGUACGCUAGUUACGGUCGGACAUCGUGACGAUAGUGCAAUGGCAUAAGCGUGCUUAACUGCGAGACUGACAAGUCGAGCAGAUGCGAAAGCAGGACAUAGUGAUCCGGUGGUUCUGUAUGGAAGGGCCAUCGCUCAACGGAUAAAAGGUACUCUGGGGAUAACAGGCUGAUACCGCCCAAGAGUUCAUAUCGACGGCGGUGUUUGGCACCUCGAUGUCGGCUCAUCUCAUCCUGGGGCUGUAGCCGGUCCCAAGGGUAUGGCUGUUCGCCAUUUAAAGAGGUACGUGAGCUGGGUUUAAAACGUCGUGAGACAGUUUGGUCCCUAUCUUCCGUGGGCGCUGCAGAUUUGAGAAAGCCUGCUCCUAGUACGAGAGGACCGGAGUGGACGCACCUCUGGUGUAUCGGUUGUCACGCCAGUGGCAUUGCCGAGUAGCUAAGUGCGGAAGAGAUAACCGCUGAAAGCAUCUAAGCGGGAAACUCGUUUCAAGAUGAGAUCUGCCGGGGCCUUGAGCCCCCUAAAGAGUCGUUCAAGACCAGGACGUUGAUAGGUCAGGUGUGGAAGCGCAGUAAUGCGUUAAGCUAACUGAUACUAAUUGCUCGUGCGGCUUGACCU